UACAGAGGGGGCAAGCGUUGUUCGGAAUUACUGGGCGUAAAGGGCGCGUAGGCGGCCUUCUAAGUCGAACGUGAAAUCCCCGGGCUCAACCCGGGAACUGCGUCCGAUACUGGAAGGCUUGAAUCCGGGAGAGGGAUGUGGAAUUCCAGGUGUAGCGGUGAAAUGCGUAGAUAUCUGGAGGAACACCGGUGGCGAAGGCGACAUCCUGGACCGGUAUUGACGCUGAGGCGCGAAAGCCAGGGGAGCAAAGCGGG
Molecule: ribosomal RNA, 254 nt
Filed under: uncultured bacterium
Lineage: Bacteria
Description: partial 16S ribosomal RNA
Rfam family: Bacterial small subunit ribosomal RNA
Source: RNAcentral